Pseudonaja textilis is the source of this 174-nucleotide non-coding RNA. The record is from RefSeq and is a predicted model, not a curated record. Lineage: Eukaryota; Metazoa; Chordata; Lepidosauria; Squamata; Elapidae.
GCUCAUCAGUCUGAAAUCCUCACUGCAUAUCAGACAUUAAUACAAUCAAGCGAAUUUUGGGCUUGGACAAUCUUGAACUAUGCCACCUACGGUUAUACUUAAGCGUAGCACACAAAAUUAUCUGCUACAAUAUCCUACCAGUGAAUGACUACUUCAUCUUCAACCACAACAAUA